RNAcentral lists this ribosomal RNA (408 nucleotides) under uncultured bacterium. Its description in RNAcentral is "partial 16S ribosomal RNA". It matches the Rfam family "Bacterial small subunit ribosomal RNA", at positions 28 to 526 of the family's 1533-position model. The record is from RNAcentral.
GACGAACGCUGGCGGCGUGCUUAAUACAUGCAAGUCGAACGCAGUGGCGAAGGGGUGAGUACUACGUGGGUAACCUGCCCUCCUCUAUGGGAUAAACCUUGGAAACGGGGUCUAAUACCGGCUAAGGGGGGCUGGGCUCGCGGCCGAUCAGCGUGUUGGUGGGGUGAUGGCCUACCAAGGCGGUGACGGGUAGCCGGCCUGAGAGGGGGACCGGCGACAUUGGGACGGAGAUACGGCCCAGAGGCCUACGCGGGGGAGAAGGGGGGGAUAUGGCACAAUGGGCGAAAGACUGAUGCAGCGACGCCGCGGGGGGUAUGAAGGCUGUCGGGUUGUAAACCUCUUUCGGUAUCGAAAGGGUAGGUGGAGAAGAAGCGCCGGCUAACUACGUGCCAGCAGCCGCGGUAAUUC